UCUGAUGGUCAUAAUGCAGUAGCGCCACCUGAUUCCAUGCCGAACUCAGAAGUGAAAUGCUGUGAUGCCGAUGGUAGUGUUGGGU
Molecule: ribosomal RNA, 85 nt
Filed under: Lonepinella koalarum
Lineage: Bacteria; Pseudomonadati; Pseudomonadota; Gammaproteobacteria; Pasteurellales; Pasteurellaceae
Source: RNAcentral